Molecule: long non-coding RNA, 364 nt
Organism: Esox lucius (northern pike)
Lineage: Eukaryota; Metazoa; Chordata; Actinopteri; Esociformes; Esocidae
Source: Ensembl
AUUACACCUCAGCUGAACGGGCUCAAAGCUCUCGUGACCUCUGGUGUUCAGCUGGCCCAGAAUGCAGCGGGAGAGGCUGAUAAGGCCAAUGAUGAGGCAGACGCUGCAGCCAAGGAGCUGGCGCGCCUGCUUGAACAGCUGGAGAAGCUGCGUGCUGCAGAGAGGACCAGUGGAAGUGAGAAUGGGACAGCAGGGGAGAGGCUCCAGAAACUUCAGAAGGAGGCUGGUUCUCUGGCCAAUGAAACUGAAGACAUGAUUAAGUUACUAACAGAGAAAACAACCUCUCUGUAUGAACUACAGCAAGAAGUCCUAAUGAAGUCUGAGAACCUGACAGGCCUGGACACCCAACUGCAGGACAUCCUGG